RNAcentral lists this unclassified non-coding RNA (1473 nucleotides) under Hevea brasiliensis (rubber tree). Lineage: Eukaryota; Viridiplantae; Streptophyta; Magnoliopsida; Malpighiales; Euphorbiaceae. The record is from RNAcentral.
UAAAAUAGCAACCAUAUAUUAAAGAAUGUUCGUUGGUACUCAGAUGGUGAAAUACAUUUCGUUGUAUUUUGUUUUUCAUAAAAAGGCAUGUGGUGGGGGAAUCUUAUUCAAGAUAUAAACAGACAAAAAGAAGAAAGCAAUGCUUAUUCUUCAUGCAACCUUUGGCUUUGGAAUUGGAUCGUAGCAAGUGAACCGUUACAUGAGUUGCGACUGUGUCCCUAGAUUCAAAAGCAAAUCCCUUGCUUUUGCAGUCUGAAAAUCCCUUUUGUUUCUCUGAGAAUGUUUCAUGAGUCGUGACGGGUCACUCACUGUUUUCUGUACAUAUAUAAUUCAAAAUCUUCAUUUACAAUCCAAAUUCAAAUAAAUAAACACAGCUACUUUAUGUCCCAACUAAAAUACAAUAAAUUAUGUAGCACCUAUUAGGGAUGGCACCUAAUCAGUGUACUCUCUGCUUACGCAAAAAGAGAAACAGAAUACACAUAUCAAUUCAUAUUUUCAACAAAAAUUGACUUGAUUGAUGAGCAUUACAUGGUAUUAAAUUAGACAUAUAUGUAUAUGUGGGCAUUUUCAUAGAAGAAAUACACAUGGAAAUUUGUAUAUGGUUUCUUUUUUGUUUGUUUUUAACUUGGAAUCUUUUGUUGACUGGUGAUGAGUUGGGGAAGUGUAAUCCUUACGCUUUAUGAUAUAAUGGGAAUGGCAACUUAAUUGAGACGAAACAUGCCUUUGUAAAAGGAGAUCAAGAUCAAGGUUCGCCACAAUCAAUGUUGUCUCUUUGGUUUAAGAGCACCAAAACGCCUACAAACAAACAACCAAAAAGCAUUAUUCCAAACAUUUAUCAUAUAAUCAUUAAUUAAUUACCAUCUAAACAUCAAAUUGCAUAUUUCUUUAUUGUAAAAUUGAAAAAUAAGGAAGAAAUCCAAAUUCUAAACUACUCAGUACGCAUCACUCAGAAAAGGACAUGAUAUUGAGAGAAAUUAAUUAGGCAAUAAAGAGACAUACACGAAAACAAGCAAUGCGCAUUCUCCAAGGCUUCUUUGCUUUCUUAAGCUUGGAGAAAAACUCGUCUUGAGAGCAAACAUUGCCUGAAGAUGCCAAGAAAACCCUUCUCGGAAUCGGAGGAGACCAUAGACCACUUUGUUCGUAAUCAAAAUCAUAUUGUGAUGCAUCAAAGAACUUCCCGAGAAGCCUCUCAGAUACCGAUUUCGAAACCAUUUGAAUGCUUGGAGUGCUGCAGGUCAGUGAAGAAGAACUUCGUCCUGGCGACAAUGAUGAUGAUGAUGACGUCGACAAUGCCAUUGAUGAAACCUCUGAUAUACUCGCCAUUCAAGGAGAGAGAUCAGAGAGAGAUGUAUAUGAAAACUGGUUUGCUUGCUUUGUGUUGUGGAGCAGAAGUUAGGUUGAAUGAAAGUACUUUGAUAAGGUAUAGCAGAAAAAAGAACCAAUGGUUUGGUCAAUAUUAAAAGCCAGACUCAA